Molecule: long non-coding RNA, 457 nt
Organism: Octodon degus (degu)
Lineage: Eukaryota; Metazoa; Chordata; Mammalia; Rodentia; Octodontidae
Exons: 3
Source: RefSeq, a predicted model, not a curated record
CGCUCAUGAGCAGUGUGGCUAUAUAGAACGCCAGCCUCACCUGCCCAGCAGGCAGCAUGGGCAAGUAGCUUCACCCGACCUCAGCAGAUCACACGGCCCAAGCAGGAUAAAGUUUUCAGUUGGACUCCUCAUCUGCCUUCUCAUCCUGGGUGUUGACGGCCAGGGCUGGUUGUCAUUCAUGAGGGAAGCUGGUCAAGGUACAUAGAGAAAUGGAGGAAGCAGGAGUCUUAAGAAACCAGACAGAGUUUCAGAGAAAAGCAGGCUUAACCCAGGUAGACUUGCUUCUCAGCAUUUGCUGAACUGUUUCCAAAAUAAGAGCCAGAGAUUGUGAACACACAUCCUGUGCUUAAGCUCAGAAAUGGCAAGUGCCCAGGCAGGGCGACUUCGGGAGGCAACUGCAGCUCCUCUGCUCACAGUGAAGGACACGAUGGAUUGCGCUGAUGAACGUCCUCUUGAG